CCUGGUGGUUAUGGCGGGGUGGCUGCACCCGUUCCCUUUCCGAACACGGCCGUGAAACGCCCCUGCGCCCAUGGUACUUCGU
This 82-nucleotide ribosomal RNA is filed under the name Rhizobium pantanalense. Lineage: Bacteria; Pseudomonadati; Pseudomonadota; Alphaproteobacteria; Hyphomicrobiales; Rhizobiaceae. The record is from RNAcentral.